This 327-nucleotide unclassified non-coding RNA is filed under the name soil metagenome. RNAcentral describes it as "partial contains 5.8S ribosomal RNA, internal transcribed spacer 2, and large subunit ribosomal RNA". The stretch from base 1 to 120 matches the Rfam family "5.8S ribosomal RNA", at positions 35 to 154 of the family's 154-position model. The record is from RNAcentral.
GAUGAAGAACGCAGCGAAAUGCGAUAAGUAGUGUGAAUUGCAGAAUUCAGUGAAUCAUCGAAUCUUUGAACGCACAUUGCGCCCCUUGGUAUCCCGAGGGGCAUGCCUGUUCGAGCGUCAUUUCAACCCUCAAGCCUGGCUUGGUGUUGGGGCUCUGCGUCUGCAGUCCCUUAAAUCCAGUGGCGGACACGCUAGGUCUCCGAGCGCAGUAGUUUCUCCUCGCUCAGGGCGUCCGGCGUGGGCUUGCCUCGCACCCAUCUUUUACAAGGUUGACCUCGGAUCAGGUAGGAAUACCCGCUGAACUUAAGCAUAUCAAUAAGCGGAGGA